GAAAGGAUCACCUGGGAGACCAAGUUACAGGCAGGGUCAUGUGGAAGUGGAAGCUAAGCUGAGAACAUGGGUUGCUUCCAAUGAGGGCAGGUUCUUCCUUUCCCUUGUUAGAAUGGCAGGGAUUGCAUAGAGCAAAGGGAAUAAAGACCAGAGACAUAUCCUCGGGGCACCUGAGGUGCUGGCUGGCCCUGACCAUGCACUCCCCACCACCACUCUCUUCUGGAACAUCAGGCUGAAGUAAUGGCCACUUUCAUGAGUUAUAAUUGACCCUACUCCAUAAAGAGGUACCAGUUCCCAGGCAGGUGGUCUGAGUAAAUCCAGUGCUACUUUUCCCCUCUACAGAGCCAGCAAAGCAGAAUCAGACCCUCUGGCUGGGCUGGUUACUCCCCCAAUCCU
Molecule: long non-coding RNA, 396 nt
Filed under: Marmota monax (woodchuck)
Lineage: Eukaryota; Metazoa; Chordata; Mammalia; Rodentia; Sciuridae
Source: RNAcentral